RNAcentral lists this ribosomal RNA (253 nucleotides) under uncultured bacterium. RNAcentral's name for it is "partial 16S ribosomal RNA". It matches the Rfam family "Bacterial small subunit ribosomal RNA", at positions 524 to 776 of the family's 1533-position model. The record is from RNAcentral.
GACAGAGGUCCCGAGCGUUAGGCGGCAUCACUGGGCUUAAAGCGUGUGUAGGCGGACUUCUACGUACCUUGUGAAAUCCCACGGCUUAACCGUGGAACUGCUUGGUAUACUGGUUGUCUUGGGCCAUCUAGGGGCUACUGGAACAAACGGUGGAGCGGUGAAAUGCGUAGAUAUCGUUUGGAACGCCAAUGGUGAAAACAAGUAGCUGGGGAUGUGCCGACGCUGAGACACGAAAGCCAGGGGAGCGAACGGG